GGGGAUAUUGCGUAACCAGGCAGCGCGGCAGGCUCCAGACCUGCAAGUCGGGGUUCAAAUCCCCGUGUCCCCA
Molecule: transfer RNA, 73 nt
Filed under: Microcaldota archaeon
Lineage: Archaea; Nanobdellati; Microcaldota
Also listed under: 1 other name
Description: Candidatus Micrarchaeota archaeon (hot springs metagenome) tRNA-Trp
Rfam family: tRNA
About the family: Transfer RNA (tRNA) molecules are approximately 80 nucleotides in length. Their secondary structure includes four short double-helical elements and three loops (D, anti-codon, and T loops).
Source: RNAcentral